GGGGGUAUGGCGGAAGUGGUAGACGCUACGGACUU
This 35-nucleotide transfer RNA is filed under the name Bucklandiella curiosissima. RNAcentral describes it as "partial transfer RNA-Leu". The record is from RNAcentral. Lineage: Eukaryota; Viridiplantae; Streptophyta; Bryopsida; Grimmiales; Grimmiaceae.